AAAAAUCACAUUGAUGGUUUUUUUUUCAGAAAACCCUUAAUUUUACCAACAAAAAUUGAAUGACUAAUAAAUUAUAAAAAUUAAAAGCGCAGUGUUGAAUGUCCAUAAAUACUGAGUCAAAAGUACAUAAUAAAUGCAUAAUUAUAUAACUACCAUUCUCUUCCUUUUCCCUUUGUAAUAAAUUAGCUUACGUAGUUUGCUCUUCCCACCACUCGCUUGAUUGGCAAUCUCUGUCGUCUCAAUUGCUCUUUUGUGGUUUUGAAAAUUCUACAUUUUUAAUAUAUAGUUUUGUAACAAUUUUGGAAUAAAAUUAGGGUUUGAGGAAAUGUUGUCGGUAUUAGGUGUCUCUACGAAACUUUGAGCCAGUUGAGUUGGAUGGGAGUGCUCUCGAGUCUUGUCCUCUGCUUCAUGCCCUCUCUCGUCUUGUAAGUUGGUAACUGUUGGAAUAUAUUAUUAUUCCUUCAUUUUUGGACACAUACGAGCCCAUAUAAUAUAUCAAACUGAAGUACUGAACUAGAACAUGUCCUUUUAUAUUAUUACAAUUUUAAAUACCUACUAUAUUUAUAAGAGAGAGUAUAUGAGUUGAAGCAUUGCCUACUCAGAAAAAAACAAGUAAACAAAACAAGCAACUACCUAAUAAUGGAUAUGAAACUACUUUUGUAAUUUAAAGAGAGAUUUGUUACCAAAGAAACAAAACCUAUUUUUGUUAAGUUCUUAUUAACAUCAAAUUUAUGGUUGAUAGAUUAUAAUGACCUGAAAGCUAUUGUUGUUUACCUGUAGAUUAGCCAAGGUUAGAUUUGGUAUAUGUUCUUGCUCUUUCAAACGUUACAGUUUGGUUUACUUUGGUAAACUUAAUUACAAGUGAAAAGCGAAAUAACUAUAGUUUUGGUCAAAAAUAAGUAUAGUUAUAUGUUAGGCAUCUAAUAGGUAAGGUAAGUCAACAUAUAGUGAAUGCCAACCCAUGACAUCAAUGCUCAC
This 978-nucleotide long non-coding RNA is filed under the name Brassica napus (rape). Its description in RNAcentral is "long non-coding RNA (BNAP_LNC010664)". The record is from RNAcentral. Lineage: Eukaryota; Viridiplantae; Streptophyta; Magnoliopsida; Brassicales; Brassicaceae.